GGUGAGGGUAGUGUCAUUUGUGGCGAUGGCCAGUGAAGGACAGGAGAGGGAAGGGAUGGAUAGCAGUUGUGAAUCAAUAUCAGCCGACAGCUGCUGGAGAUCAAAAGAAUUAAGGUUCCUCCUGAGUUGAGGGAUGUUAGGAUGAGGUUGUUGGGUGAGGAGGUACACGAGAGUAAACAAUAAGAGGUGGUGAUCAGAGAGAGGAAAUAGAGUGUUGCAGAUGUUAGAUACUGUACAU
Molecule: non-coding RNA, 238 nt
Organism: Pelobates cultripes (western spadefoot toad)
Lineage: Eukaryota; Metazoa; Chordata; Amphibia; Anura; Pelobatidae
Source: the annotation of a GenBank genome assembly